UAGGGAAUCUUCCGCAAUGGACGCAAGUCUGACGGAGCAACGCCGCGUGAGUGAAGAAGGUUUUCGGAUCGUAAAACUCUGUUGUAAGAGAAGAACAAAUUGUAGAGUAACUGCUACAGUCUUGACGGUAUCUUACCAGAAAGCCACGGCUAACUACGUGCCAGCAGCCGCGGUAAUACGUAGGUGGCAAGCGUUGUCCGGAUUUAUUGGGCGUAAAGGGGGCGCAGGCUGCUUCUUAAGUCUGAUGUGAAAGCCCACGGCUUAACCGUGGAAGUGCAUUGGAAACUGGGAAGCUUGAGUACAGAAGAGGAAAGUGGAACUCCAUGUGUAGCGGUGGAAUGCGUAGAUAUGUGUAGGAAUGCCGAUGAUGAAGAUAACUCACUGGACAGAAACUGACGCUGAAGUGCGAAAGCUAGGGGAGCAAACAGG
Molecule: ribosomal RNA, 429 nt
Filed under: Verrucomicrobiota bacterium
Lineage: Bacteria; Pseudomonadati; Verrucomicrobiota
Description: Verrucomicrobia bacterium partial 16S ribosomal RNA
Rfam family: Bacterial small subunit ribosomal RNA
Source: RNAcentral